UACGGAGGGAGCUAGCGUUGUUCGGAAUUACUGGGCGUAAAGCGCACGUAGGCGGCUUUUUAAGUCAGAGGUGAAAUCCCAGGGCUCAACCCUGGAACUGCCUUUGAAACUGGGAAGCUAGAAUCUUGGAGAGGCGAGUGGAAUUCCGAGUGUAGAGGUGAAAUUCGUAGAUAUUCGGAAGAACACCAGUGGCGAAGGCGACUCGCUGGACAAGUAUUGACGCUGAGGUGCGAAAGCGUGGGGAGCAAACAGG
This 253-nucleotide ribosomal RNA is filed under the name uncultured bacterium. Its description in RNAcentral is "partial 16S ribosomal RNA". It matches the Rfam family "Bacterial small subunit ribosomal RNA", at positions 524 to 776 of the family's 1533-position model. The record is from RNAcentral.